GCUGUCACUUAUCUUUGUUUCUCCCUUCAAUCUCUGUCUUGACCUCAGCCACUCCAUUGUUUCUUUUAUUUAUUUAUUUUUGUCUGGAGGGGAUUGACAGAAUGCAAGUGGGUGUCUGCAAGUGCUGCUGUUUUCAUACCUUUUGUUCUGACUAGGACCGAUUUGACCGCCACCUCCUGCUGUGCCUUGGAAUCUCACUUGGAUUUCGGUUUUCUGUUGGUCUUUCUGAGGGGAGGUGCUCCAAAACUGCUUGGAUUUUAUUGUAUACAUGAGGAUUUUCUUUCUUUUUCUUUUUUUAUCCAAAGUGACAUGAAGAUCUUAAAUGGAUGUUUGUAGUAUUUCUACUGCUUUUUCAUCAAUGUUGAUUUUGGUCCAUUAUUCUUGAGUUAAAAGCUCUGGAAACAACACAACAGAGUCAAUUAUAACUGGGAGUCAUGUUAGAAAUACACUGUGGUGUUCUCUGCAGAAGAACAGGCAGGUGGCUGUGUUGUUUCAAGUUCAACUGAGACCAUGAAGAAAAUUUGGUCAAAGAAAAGAUUCCAGAGAGCUGGACACUCUAGCAGGACAUUUGGGAGUUUCACUCAUGUGAAGUUUUUCGCUUGUGCAGGAAGCAAAGCAAUGACUCAGAUCACACAGAGGAUGAAAGUGGAGAGCCUCGGGUGUCUAUGGAGAUGAAGGAACAGUCCACACCUCCUCAUGGGCAAGCAGUCGACAUUCAACUCACAAGCAGUGGAAGGACGGUGGUUUCCCAUAUCCCAUGUGACGGUCUAGUGGUGGAGAGGGAAUUGCGAGUUGUGGGUUCCAGAGCUCCUGCUUUUCAGGAUCCCUUGCCACCUGGCCUGCAAACAAAUGCUGCGUGUGUUGAAAGCCCUCCAGUCAGACACCUGGGGGUUGAGGCUCUCGUUCGGGCUUCACAAAUAAGUGUGUACUACCCCGCAGUGGGGUCAGAGGAGAGUAUGUCCUUAACCAGUGACUACUACGGUAGUGUUUUCAGCCUCUAUCGAAGAAGGACGUUUUCCAUUUACAGUGCUCAAGAUUAAAUGCUGGCACACUGGAAAUGUAAAGGACAAAAUAACUUGAAUUAAAGGGGCAAAUAAAAAAUUUGUAUUCAGUGUAGUACACCAUAAGUCUAAAGCGAUAUCUGUUGAAUCCUUUCCAUAAAAUGUGUUCAAUUAUUUUGGCCUUUCAUGUCAUUUUUAACGUUUUCGUUGAUUCCCUCUUUCUUUGAAUUCACUGCAAUUGCGUUUUGAUUUGAAAUAGUAAUGAAUACAAAAUGUGCCUUUUCCUUCACAAACCUUUUUGCAUGCCUUUCUAUCAUGACAUCCCUUUUGUGUUCAUUUUAUUUAUUCAAUUAAAUUACUCAAUUUAUAUAUUAAUGUAUUUAUUUCUUUAUAAUUUGUAUGCAGAUUUCAGUGAAUUACUUCAAUUUAUUUUGGUUUCGUUUUGUCUCUUAAUAAAAAUAACGCGCUAACCGCAGGAUAUGCAACCAUUUUGUCAUAAUGCAACUUUGCCCACAAUCACCCUCAUUUCUGUGGUAAAUUGGACUUUACUACAAGGGAAGCUUCCCCAGUUGUCCAAACCCGGCCAUUUCAAAAUGCUCAGAACACAGUCACCCCAAGUGAUCCAACAACAGAUUCAACAACAACUCACAAUGGCACCAAAACAUUCACGAAUCGAGCUGAGCUCCCUGUCAAAACCAAAUCUUCUACGUUAUCCAAAGUGGAGGCUCCCAAGAUGCAUCCUCCCUCCACACUCCAAAACUGUCAGACGCAAGUACCAUAAUCUCUGAAAAAGUGAGAGUUUUAAAGAACAGCACAGCCUUGACAUGCCAAAGGUGUAUUCAUCAAGACGCUCAUGGGGUUUCAAUCAAACAUCAUCGCGAAAUUCUGAGGAUGGAGAGAGUAAGGCAGGGAAUCCCAAAUACAACUCCAAGAGUGAAGUGGCACUCAAGAGGUCUUGCUUCAAGCAGACAGCAUCCUCUUUGGAUGAUUUUACUGCUCUGCUGCCACAGCUAUUGUACUGGGAAAAACAGACUGGAUUCGUUCAAUGAGUUGCCAACAUCAUGUUUAAAUGUAUAUCAGAACAGUUAUUUGUAACCAGAGACAGAUGAAAAGACAUGGUGAGAAUUUAAUUCAUUCUUGGUACACCGAGCAGCCAAACAUGAAAAGCACCUGCCUAAUAUUGUGUAGAUCCCCUCAUGCUGCCAAAACAGCGCAAACCUGCAUCUCAGAACAGCAUUCAGAGAUGAUAUUCUUCUCAACACGGUUGUACAGAGUGGUUAUCUGAGUUACCAUAGACUUUCUAUCAGUUCAAACCAGUCUGGCCAUUCUCUGUUGACCUCUCUCAUCAACAAGUGUUUCGGGUUGCGGGUUGACACUGAUUUGGCCCACGAGGGGGACCUACACAAUAUUAAGCAGGUGGUUUUAAUGUUGUUGCUGAUCGGUGUAUGUUACCUUAAGGUCACUUGGUCUUCCUAGAGGAUUCAUCAGAUGAUUCCUAGAUGUCUUCAGCGGAGGAUUCAGAGGACCCUUUGUUUGAACUUCCUAAAUACUGUGGCAGCUGCCGAAUCAGAUUUGCGUCUUCAAGGGAAACCCUGUCCCCCAAGGCAAGGCAUCUCAGACCCCUCUAACAACUAAGCUAUUAUUUAAAUGGCUUUUAAUUUGGUUCAUUAAAAACAUCUUUAGAUUUCAACAUUCAAACUUUCUUCAUUUUAGAAAGUAGAUUGGCAUUCUAUUGAUAUUUCAUUUUUAAACACCUCGAUCAAUAUCUUCUUAAGUUAAAUAUUUUUUGUAAAUAAUUUUAUCCUAACUAAAAUUCCAAUAUUAUCAUUAUUAUUUGCUAUAACUGUUGGUUAAACAAGUGAACACAAUAAUACCACACUGGAGAUUGAAGUGUCAGCUUUAUAAUUA
Xyrauchen texanus (razorback sucker) is the source of this 2909-nucleotide RNA transcript. It is a transcript of the gene named striated muscle enriched protein kinase a, with no coding region annotated. The record is from RefSeq and is a predicted model, not a curated record. The transcript has 5 exons. NCBI's taxonomy places the organism in Eukaryota, Metazoa, Chordata, Actinopteri, Cypriniformes, Catostomidae.